GAUGAAGAACGUAGCGAAAUGCGAUACGUAGUGUGAAUUGCAGAAUUCAGUGAAUCAUCGAAUCUUUGAACGCACAUUGCGCCCCUUGGUAUUCCGAGGGGCAUGCCUGUUCGAGCGUCAUUUCAACCCCUCAAGCUUCGGCUUGGUGUUGGGCCGCGCCGCUGCACCAGCAGCUGGCGGGCCUCAAAAUCAGUGGCGGUGCCGUCUCGACUCUAAGCGUAGUAACAUCUCUCGCUCUGGAGACCUGGCGGUGGCUUGCCAGACAACCCCCAACUUUCUUUAAGGUUUGACCUCGGAUCAGGUAGGGAUACCCGCUGAACUUAAGCAUAUCAAUAAGCGGAGGA
RNAcentral lists this unclassified non-coding RNA (344 nucleotides) under soil metagenome. RNAcentral's name for it is "partial contains 5.8S ribosomal RNA, internal transcribed spacer 2, and large subunit ribosomal RNA". The stretch from base 1 to 120 matches the Rfam family "5.8S ribosomal RNA", at positions 35 to 154 of the family's 154-position model. The record is from RNAcentral.